RNAcentral lists this ribosomal RNA (468 nucleotides) under uncultured bacterium. RNAcentral's name for it is "partial 16S ribosomal RNA". It matches the Rfam family "Bacterial small subunit ribosomal RNA", at positions 28 to 507 of the family's 1533-position model. The record is from RNAcentral.
GACGAACGCUGGCGGCGUGCUUAACACAUGCAAGUCGAACGGAAAGGCCCUGCUUUUGUGGGGUGCUCGAGUGGCGAACGGGUGAGUAACACGUGAGUAACCUGCCCUUGACUUUGGGAUAACUUCAGGAAACUGGGGCUAAUACCGGAUAGGAGCUCCUGCUGCAUGUUGGGGGUUGGAAAGUUUCGGCGGUUGGGGAUGGACUCGCGGCUUAUCAGCUUGUUGGUGGGGUAGUGGCUUACCAAGGCUUUGACGGGUAGCCGGCCUGAGAGGGUGACCGGCCACAUUGGGACUGAGAGACGGACCAGAAUCCUACGGGAGGCAGCAGUGGGGAAUAUUGCACAAUGGGCGGAAGCCUGAUGCAGAAACGCCGCGUGCGGGAUGACGGCCUUCGGGUUGUAAACCGCUUUCGCCUGUGACGAAGAGUGAGUGACGGUAAUGGGUAAAGAAGCACCGGCUAACUACGUG